RNAcentral lists this transfer RNA (72 nucleotides) under Camelus bactrianus (Bactrian camel). It matches the Rfam family "tRNA". From Rfam's summary of the family: Transfer RNA (tRNA) molecules are approximately 80 nucleotides in length. Their secondary structure includes four short double-helical elements and three loops (D, anti-codon, and T loops). The record is from Rfam by way of RNAcentral. Lineage: Eukaryota; Metazoa; Chordata; Mammalia; Artiodactyla; Camelidae. RNAcentral also lists the same sequence under 2 other names.
GAGGGUAUAGCUCAGUGGUAGAGCGUGUGCUUAGCAUGCGUGGGGUCCUGGGUUUAACCCCCAGUACCUCCC